RNAcentral lists this long non-coding RNA (493 nucleotides) under Rosa chinensis. Its description in RNAcentral is "sRNA RchiOBHm_Chr5g0025241". The record is from RNAcentral. Lineage: Eukaryota; Viridiplantae; Streptophyta; Magnoliopsida; Rosales; Rosaceae.
GCACUUCUCUAUCUCUGACGGCGUUCUACCAAAGCUCUGUCUCUAAGGCUCCUCUGAAUCUCUCAUCUUUGAAUUUCUCAUCUCUGUGAGCCUUAUUCGUUGCUCUUCCAAUUAUUGAAAUUUUUGGAUUCGAUACAGCUCGAUUGAUCAAAGCACCAACCAUCGCAUUCUUUGCUCUGCUAAGCAACAGGUCAAUUGCACUGCACUUGACAAAGUUUAAAGUUUCUGUUUGGGAUUUCACUCUUUGAUAGGCCUGUGUGGCAACAAUUCAUUAUUUGCUCUUCUGGGUUGUUCUUUGGUUACCUUGUCAAUUGCGUCUGAAAUAAGACAUUUAUAUUUGUUUUUGAAUUGUUGAGAGCACAGGGAUCGCUAAGUUGGUUUUUGUCAUCUCCAGGUGAGACUUAUCAUGCCUAAAUAAAAUAUGAUUACUAGUAUUGUUGUACAUGAACCCUAGAUGCAUUCCCGGCAUGUGCAUAGGCUAGCGUAGAUGUGA